ACAACAGGGAUUGCCUUAGUAACGGCGAGUGAAGCGGCAACAGCUCAAAUUUGAAAGCUGGCUCCUUUGGAGUCCGCGUUGUAAUUUGUAGAGGAUGAUUCGGCAAGGGCUCCCGCCUAAGUCUCCUGGAACGGAGCGUCAUAGAGGGUGAGAAUCCCGUAUGCGGUGGGCUGCCUAAGCCAUGUGAAUCUCCUUCGACGAGUCGAGUUGUUUGGGAAUGCAGCUCUAAAUGGGAGGUAAAUUUCUUCUAAAGCUAAAUACCGGCCAGAGACCGAUAGCGCACAAGUAGAGUGAUCGAAAGAUGAAAAGCACUUUGGAAAGAGAGUUAAAAAGUACGUGAAAUUGUUGAAAGGGAAGCGCUUGCAGCCAGACUUGUCCGCAGUUGCUCAGCCGGUCUCCUGACCGGUGUACUCUUCUGCGGCCAGGCCAGCAUCAGUUCGGGCGGUCGGAUAAAGACCUCGGGAAUGUAGCUCCUCUCGGGGAGUGUUAUAGCCCGGGGUGGAAUGCGGCCAGCCUGGACUGAGGAUCUCGCUUCGGCUAGGAUGCUGGCGUAAUGGCUGUAAGCGGCCCGUCUUGAAACACGGACCAAGGAGUCUAACAUCUAUGCGAGUGUUUGGGUGUCAAACCCAUGCGCGUAAUGAAAGUGAACGGAGGUGGGAACCCUCACGGGUGCACCAUCGACCGAUCCUGAUGUCUUCGGAUGGAUUUGAGUAAGAGCAUAGCUGUUGGGACCCGAAAGAUGGUGAACUAUGCCUGAAUAGGGUGAAGCCAGAGGAAACUCUGGUGGAGGCUCGCAGCGGUUCUGACGUGCAAAUCGAUCGUCAAAUUUGGGUAUAGGGGCGAAAGACUAAUCGAACCAUCUAGUAGCUGGUUCCUGCGAGUGCUCUCUCUCCCAGAGAGGAA
RNAcentral lists this ribosomal RNA (903 nucleotides) under Botryosphaeria sinensis. RNAcentral's name for it is "partial large subunit ribosomal RNA". It matches the Rfam family "Eukaryotic large subunit ribosomal RNA", at positions 65 to 983 of the family's 3401-position model. The record is from RNAcentral. Lineage: Eukaryota; Fungi; Ascomycota; Dothideomycetes; Botryosphaeriales; Botryosphaeriaceae.